This 495-nucleotide ribosomal RNA is filed under the name uncultured bacterium. RNAcentral describes it as "partial 16S ribosomal RNA". It matches the Rfam family "Bacterial small subunit ribosomal RNA", at positions 28 to 505 of the family's 1533-position model. The record is from RNAcentral.
GAUGAACGCUGGCGGCGUGCCUAAUACAUGCAAGUCGAGCGAACAGACGAGGAGCUUGCUCCUCUGACGUUAGCGGCGGACGGGUGAGUAACACGUGGAUAACCUACCUAUAAGACUGGGAUAACUUCGGGAAACCGGAGCUAAUACCGGAUAAUAUAUUGAACCGCAUGGUUCAAUAGUGAAAGACGGUUUUGCUGUCACUUAUAGAUGGAUCCGCGCCGCAUUAGCUAGUCGGUAAGGUAACGGCUUACCAAGGCAACGAUGCGUAGCCGACCUGAGAGGGUGAUCGGCCACACUGGAACUGAGACACGGUCCAGACUCCUACGGGAGGCAGCAGUAGGGAAUCUUCCGCAAUGGGCGAAAGCCUGACGGAGCAACGCCGCGUGAGUGAUGAAGGUCUUCGGAUCGUAAAACUCUGUUAUUAGGGAAGAAAAAAUGUGUAAGUAACUAGGCACGUCUUGACGGUACCUAAUCAGAAAGCCACGGCUAACUACG